CAUCAGUUCAUUGAUGCAUCAUCACAGGGUGAAUGAGGACUACACGGGGCAUGUCUGUCCUCUCUUGGCGGGGUCACAUGAAAAGAACACACAAAAGGAAUAAGAAGGUUCUCAAGAGCAAGAAGGAAGCUGGACUAGACGUUUUCACAUCAACAUGUUUUUGUACAUUUUUAGAUUUUUGGUAUUACAUCGCUUUCUGGCCUGACCGCUCCCUAUUCCUCCCGUUAUAUCAAACACUGGACUGCCAAACAGCAGAGGGCGCCCGCGAGUGAGUCCUCAAUGAAUUAAACUGGCGUCGGGCUGCAGGAGGCGGGCUUAACUGCUAGAGCGUGAUGAUUGACGGGCGAGUGGAGCAGCUUAUUGGCUGUUCGCGCUCACUGACGUCAUGGACAUACAUAUGGG
Long non-coding RNA from Pygocentrus nattereri (red-bellied piranha), 402 nucleotides. RefSeq lists it as uncharacterized. The record is from RefSeq and is a predicted model, not a curated record. The transcript is spliced from 3 exons. Lineage: Eukaryota; Metazoa; Chordata; Actinopteri; Characiformes; Serrasalmidae.